GACGAACGCUGGCGGCGGGCUUAACACAUGCAAGUCGAACGGAAAGGCCCUACAUUUGGGGGGUUGGCUAGUGACGAACGGGUGAGUAAGAAGUGAAUAAGCUUCCGUUGACUUGUGGGGAACUUCAUGAAACUGGGGCGAAUACCAGAGAAUAGCUCCUGCUGCAGGGAGGGGGUUGGAAAGUUUAGGCGGGUGGGGCGGGACGCGCGGCUUAUCAUCGUGUGGGUGGGGGAGUGGCGUACCAAGGCGUGGACGGGUAGCCGGCCUGAGAGGGUGACCGGCGCCAUGGGGACUGCGAUACGGACCAGACUGCUACGGGAGGCAGUAGUGGGGAAUAUUGCCCAAUGGGCGGAAGUCUGAUGCAGCAACGCCGCGUGUGGGAUGCCGGCUUUCGGGUUGUAAACCGCUUUCGCCUGUGACGAAGUGUGCGUGACGGUAAUGAGUAAAUAAGCACCGGCUAACUACGUG
This 468-nucleotide ribosomal RNA is filed under the name uncultured bacterium. RNAcentral's name for it is "partial 16S ribosomal RNA". It matches the Rfam family "Bacterial small subunit ribosomal RNA", at positions 28 to 507 of the family's 1533-position model. The record is from RNAcentral.